RNAcentral lists this ribosomal RNA (326 nucleotides) under uncultured eukaryote. RNAcentral's name for it is "partial 18S ribosomal RNA". It matches the Rfam family "Eukaryotic small subunit ribosomal RNA", at positions 1470 to 1796 of the family's 1831-position model. The record is from RNAcentral.
CCCUUAGAUGUUCUGGGCCGCACGCGCGCUACACUGAUGCAUUCAACGAGUUCCUACCUUGGCCGAGAGGCCUGGGCAAUCUUUUGAACUUGCAUCGUGAUAGGGAUAGAUUAUUGCAAUUAUUAAUCUUGAACGAGGGAUUCCUAGUAAACGCAGAUCAUCAAUCUGCAUUGAUUACGUCCCUGCCCUUUGUACACACCGCCCGUCGCACCUACCGAUUGAAUGGUCCGGUGAAGCCUCGGGAUUGUGGUUAGUUUCCUUCAUUGGAAGUUAGCCGCGAGAACUUGUCUAAACCUUAUCAUUUAGAGGAAGGUGAAGUCGUAACA